GAUGAACGCUGGCGGCGUGCCUAAUACAUGCAAGUCGAGCGAACGGACGAGAAGCUUGCUUCUCUGAUGUUAGCGGCGGACGGGUGAGUAACACGUGGAUAACCUACCUAUAAGACUGGGAUAACUUCGGGAAACCUGAGCUAAUACCGGAUGAUAUUUUGAACCGCAUGGUUCAAAAGUGAAAGACGGUCUUGCUGUCACUUAUAGAUGGAUCCGCGCUGCAUUAGCUAGUUGGUAAGGUAACGGCUUACCAAGGCAACGAUGCAUAGCCGACCUGAGAGGGUGAUCGGCCACACUGGAACUGAGACACGGUCCAGACUCCUACGGGAGGCAGCAGUAGGGAAUCUUCCGCAAUGGGCGAAAGCCUGACGGAGCAACGCCGCGGGAGUGAUGAAGGUCUUCGGAUCGUAAAACUCUGUUAUUAGGGAAGAACAUAUGUGUAAGUAACUGUGCACAUCUGGACGGUACCUAAUCAGAAAGCCACGGCUAACUACGU
This 496-nucleotide ribosomal RNA is filed under the name uncultured bacterium. Its description in RNAcentral is "partial 16S ribosomal RNA". It matches the Rfam family "Bacterial small subunit ribosomal RNA", at positions 28 to 506 of the family's 1533-position model. The record is from RNAcentral.